RNAcentral lists this unclassified non-coding RNA (644 nucleotides) under uncultured Prochlorococcus sp. RNAcentral's name for it is "partial 16S-23S ribosomal RNA intergenic spacer; may also contain 16S ribosomal RNA and 23S ribosomal RNA". The stretch from base 303 to 375 matches the Rfam family "tRNA". The record is from RNAcentral. Lineage: Bacteria; Bacillati; Cyanobacteriota; Cyanophyceae; Synechococcales; Prochlorococcaceae.
UUGUGGAGGAGGACGCCGAAGGUGGGGCUAAUGACUGGGGUGAAGUCGUAACAAGGUAGCCGUACCGGAAGGUGCGGCUGGAUCACCUCCUAACAGGGAGACAACAAAAUGUUUAAUAUUAUUUUGUCACCUUAGGUCGAUCGGUAUCUCACGUUUUUAAUUUAUUAAGAAUUUCAUUUCCUAAGUUUUUUCUAGGUCACACCCAUUAUUUUUCCUGGGCCAUUAGCUCAGGUGGUUAGAGCGCACCCCUGAUAAGGGUGAGGUCCCUGGUUCAAGUCCAGGAUGGCCCAUAUCUCUAUGUUGGGGGUAUAGCUCAGUUGGUAGAGCGCCUGCUUUGCAAGCAGGAUGUCAGCGGUUCGAGUCCGCUUACCUCCACUGAUUACCACCUCUUCCAUAAUUUAUGAGAAGGAAAUGUUUUGAGUAGUGAUCAAAUACUGAACGAAGCUAGCUUCCUAAUGAAAUCAUUAAGAUGCUGGACUCAUUGAAUUAAUUUCAUUGUUUUCAGAGAACCUUGACAACUGCAUAGAUUAUUUUUGAAGACACUAAGCAUCUUUAAUGAUGCAGAUUUAUUAUUUGUGCGAAUGCAUUAAUAACAAUUCUAUUAAGCUGAUGCUUCAAUUUUGAAGCUAUUGGUCAAGCUACAA